Molecule: non-coding RNA, 30 nt
Filed under: Rattus norvegicus (Norway rat)
Lineage: Eukaryota; Metazoa; Chordata; Mammalia; Rodentia; Muridae
Source: RNAcentral
CCGUAAUAUGUCGGGAGUGCAUUAUCAGGC